Molecule: ribosomal RNA, 486 nt
Filed under: uncultured bacterium
Lineage: Bacteria
Description: partial 16S ribosomal RNA
Rfam family: Bacterial small subunit ribosomal RNA
Source: RNAcentral
AUUGAACGCUGGCGGCAUGCCUUACACAUGCAAGUCGAACGGCAGCACGGGUGCUUGCACCUGGUGGCGAGUGGCGAACGGGUGAGUAAUACAUCGGAACAUGUCCUGUAGUGGGGGAUAGCCCGUCGAAAGCCGGAUUAAUACCGCAUACGAUCUACGGAUGAAAGCGGGGGACCUUCGGGCCUCGCGCUAUAGGGUUGGCCGAUGGCUGAUUAGCUAGUUGGUGGGGUAAUGGCCUACCAAGGCGACGAUCAGUAGCUGGUCUGAGAGGACGACCAGCCACACUGGGACUGAGACACGGCCCAGACUCCUACGGGAGGCAGCAGUGGGGAAUUUUGGACAAUGGGCGAAAGCCUGAUCCAGCAAUGCCGCGUGUGUGAAGAAGGCCUUCGGGUUGUAAAGCACUUUUGUCCGGAAAGAAAUCCUUGGCCCUAAUACGGUCGGGGGAUGACGGUACCGGAAGAAUAAGCACCGGCUAACUACGUG